Molecule: long non-coding RNA, 5032 nt
Filed under: Sus scrofa (pig)
Lineage: Eukaryota; Metazoa; Chordata; Mammalia; Artiodactyla; Suidae
Description: lncRNA (ENSSSCG00015007238.1)
Source: RNAcentral
UAUAUUAUAUUAAGAUAAAAUUCUGCCAAUGAAAUAGCAAUUCAAAGAGAUAAAUAUGUAAAAUUUCAACAAGAACAUGUUCAUGUAUCAUUUAAAGGGAUGAUAUUGUAACUCACAAAUUGUUAAGACAUUAGGAGUCCAUUACAUUGGAAAGAGUAAUACAAUAGUUGAUUUUAAAUAUUUACACUAUACUAGAAAUCAUAACCUUUGCAACCAUUUAAAACAAUUUUGUAAAGUUUAGAAGUCAGCUUAAAAACAUUUACGAUGAUACAGAGCUUUUCAAAAUUCUCAAAGAGAGAAUGUUAGCAAACUCUUUUGCAAAAACAAUGACCUAGUGGACAAAAAGUAUGAAACCUCCUUUAGGAGAAUAGCAGUCUUGAAGAAACUAUUUUUACUGGAAGGCAGAUUUAUUGCCACCAGAAGCUGAAAGCCAAAAUCCUCACAAUGGCCUGCAAAGCCUUAUUCUAAAUUCCCAAUCCUCCUUUUCCUACUAUUCUUUUCCCAGCUCACUCUACCCUAGUAAUACUGUGCUCCUUGUUAUACUUAGGACAAGCUAGACAGGCCCUGCCUCUGACAUUCGCAUUGCUUAUUCCCUCUACUGGAAACACUUUCUUUUCAUGUCUUCAUGUCCUGCUCUGGUGACCUCCUUCAAGUCAUUAUCUUACAUGCACUGAAGCCUCCCCCUACCAUCCUACAUAAAAUUGCAGUUGCCUCAACUCCAACCUCCUCCUGUUUAAUCUGUUUCCCCUGGCACACAAUACUUUUCACACACAGUGUAAUUGAAUUAUUUAUUCAGUUGCUAGUUUUUACCCCCUCUAGAAUGCAAGCCCCAGGAGAGCAGAGGUUUUUGUCUCUUGCUCACUGCUUAUUUGCAGCACCUAAAACAGCCCCUGGAAUGUCGUAGGCAUUAAAUAAAAUAUGUUGCAUGGGUGAAUCUGCAAGUUGCUUUUAAGAUUCAUGGCCUGCAUGUGAAAGCCUUUUUUAAGAGGAAGUGAUUAAAAACUCUUAUAAAUUUAAUUUUCACUGUCAGUAGGAAUAAUGGGAGUCUCUCAUAACAGAUUAAGGAACCAAGUAAAAAGGCCAUCCUUAUUCCCUACUAAGUCGUUUAUUAUAGAUAUAACUUAUCCUCACUACUAGCAAGAUCGUAAAGAGGCUUUUAUUCGUUCCUUCAUUCAUUCUUUCAGUUAGUCAAUAAAGGAAUAUAUAUUCGGCAUGUAUUGGCUACUGUGCCAUCAGGGCAAAGGUAAAUAGAAAUCCCCCCUUGCCUCCCCACUUGGGCAUAGGACAGGUUAGUAAAAUAGAGCACUUUUAAUUUUUCAAAUGUAUAGUUCUUAAAAAUGUCUAUAAUUUUAAAAAUAUAGUUUUACCCACAUUUGUCUCUAAAUUCAAUGUACUCCUCAAUAGGAAUUUCAUGGAAUUUAAUGAGAUGAUCAUACAUGAUGAACAAAAUGUCAUGGAAUUUGAUGAGAUGAUCAUAUGAUGAACAAAAGGCCAAGAACAACCAAAAUAUUUUGGAAGAGAAGGAAGAAUCAGUUUAAAAAGCCCUUCGUCUAACACUAAGGCUUAUUAUAAAGCUAUAAUAAGUAAAAGUGUAUAUUGACAGUAGGAUAGACAAAUACAAUAAUGAAAUAUAGUGGAGAACUCUGCACAUAUGGAAGCUUGCAAUAUGACAGAAAUGACGUUACAGAUUAUUCAAGAGAGGUUGGAUUCUUCCAUAGAAUGCUGGAUUAUUUAAAUUAUUGUUUAGAAUGUUGCUCUUAUUAUGAAAAAAAAAGACCUCUACUCUUCCACCCAAAGAAAUUCCAGAUGGGCUAAAGACCAAAACUUAAAAACAAAAAUUUAAUAAUACUUACUAGAAACUUUAAGAGAGUGUAUUUAUGAUCUUAUGGUAUAAAAUAGACUUCUUUUAAAAAGGACUAAAGAAAAACAGUAACAUAAAGAUUGAUUUACUUUACCAAAGCUAUCAUAAGUAAAUAUAAAAAACAAGCACAAAACAGAAAGAAACACUUGAUUGAUAGAUAUAUAAAGGAUCAAAAAUUAUUAUAUAUUAUGUAUUUAUAAUAUUAAAGAGAUUUCAUCAAUCAAUAAGAAAAAUACCGGCGUUCCCGUUGUGGAUGAGCAGAAACGAAUCCAACUAGGAACCAUGAGGUUGCAGGUUCCAUCCGUGGCCUCACUCAGUGGGUUAAGGAUCUGGUGUUGCAGAGAGUUGUGGCGUAGGCUUCAGACGUGGCUUGGAUCUGAUGUUGCUGUGGCUGUGGUGUAGGCCAGCAGCUCUGUAGCUAUGAUUUGACCCCUAACCUGGGAACCUCCAUGUGCUGCAAGUGCGGCCCUGAAAAAGCAAAAAGAAAAAAAGAAAGAAAGGGAAAGAAAAAUACCCUUAAAUACAUGGAUGGACAUCAGUUGAGAGACUAAGUUAUCCAAAUGACAAAUAAAUGAAAAAUACUUAUGCUCAGAAAUGAACCAGAACAUUCAAGUUAAGCCAGUAAUAACAAAACAUUUCAUAAUCAUUAGAUUGUCAAAUGCCAAGUGUUGGAAAGAAUGUAGAGAAAAUCUCCCAUAAUGUUGGUUGGUGGAUAACUUGGUCAAAAAACACAGGAGGGUAUUUGUAUGUAUGUAAUUAGUUUAAAGUGAUCAAAUAUUUUAGUUUAGCAAAUUCUUAAUAUACACUUUGGAUAAACUUGCAUACUUGCAUAGGUGCACAGAGAAACACAGAGGCGUACUCAUUGUGGCUUUUUUUUUUUUUUCCGCUGUGCCUGCAGUAUGUGAAAAUUCCCAGCCUAGGGAUCAAACCACUACCAAAGCAGCAACUAGAGCCACUGCAGUGACAACACCAGAUCCUUAACUCACUGCACUGCAGCAGGAACUCCUCAUUGUGGCUUCUUACUACAAUAAUACAUUAGAAACAACAAUUCACGUAGAAUACCAAAAAGCAGUUAAAUAAACAAAUUAGAUUCAUUAUGUGUCAAAAUAAUAAAAUUAAUGAAAAAAGCAAUUCAGAGUAAAAUGUUCGCAACACACAAUUCAAUGCUUACAUUGAAUUAUAUGUGUUGCUUACAGUUGCAUAUGUAUGUAAUAAAGGUGGGUGAAUGGGAACUACCACCAAUUUCUCCCAGUUCCAAAAGUCCAUAACACCCCAUAUACAAAAAUAUGUUCUGUAUAUUUGUGGUUUCUGCGUUACUUUUACCAAGGUAUUGUAAUAAUUCAAAAGAUAGAAACAGCUAUUUUCUUCCUGGGAAAUCCUUGCCAUGUCAUGGUUUUAACUCACAUCCUUCGAUGUAAACCCUUCGUCUCAAUCUACCUCCCUGUCCCAAAUUGCUCCUUUGGAUGUCAGAACUGCAUGUUGCUAUAGUUCCCUAGACAUUGGAUGCCCACCAGGCCCCUAACACCGAACGAUUGAAAGAUGAACUCAUCUUCCCUUGAAGCCCUUGCUCCUCACCUGCCUCAGGUUCCUGUCUCAGAGAAUGGCUUAGUCAUCUCACAGAUUACUCACAUACAUGAUCUCCGCCUCCACUCUCUUCCUCAGUCCCCACAUCCUGUUACAAAGUAUUCUCUAUCCCACUUGUCAAAUAUUUAUUUCAGCCUUCCUUUUCUCACCAUUCCAGAUGUGGAACCAUGCCCAAGCCCCUUGUCUUUGGGCUAGAUUAUUACCAUAGCCUCCUCAUCUCUUCACUGCAGUGCAGCUAAAAAGCAAAUCAAACUGUGCAACUUCCAAGUGCAGUGCUUCUAAUGUAUGUCCUUCUAAUGUAUGCCCUUAGUAUGUCCCCUGAUUAAAAUCUUACAAUGGGACCUACUUGUCCUUAGGAUAGAGGUCAGGCUUCUCAGAACUGUUGCAGGAUUCUUUAUAAUGUGGUGUUUGCCUCUUUCUCCUCCCCAGUUCUCAUUCCUCCUUCCUUUUCUACUCAGCCUUUCAGCUAACAUGAACAUUUUUUUAAAAUUCCUCCUUCAGAUAUGUUUCCUCUGCCUCUAGGACUUUGUUCAUGUGAUCCUAUUCACUCAUUCUCCUCCUUUACUGAACUAACUUCUACUCGUUCUAUAUGUUCACUCUCCCUCCCUUCCUUCUUUCCUUCCUUCCCUUCCUCCCUCCCUCCCUCCCUCCUUCCUUCCUUCCUUCUUUCCUUUCUCUCUCUAUUUCUUUCCUUUUCCUUUUUAGGUCCACACCUGCAACAUAUGGAAGUUCUCAGGCUAGGGGUGUAAACAAGAGCUGCAGCUGCCAUCCUAUGCCACAGCCAUAGCAACACCAGAUCUGAGACAUGUCUGCGACCUAAACCACAGCUUGAGGCAUUGCCAGAUCCUUAACCUGAGUGAGGCCAGGGAUCAAACACGCAUCCCCACAAACUAUGUUAGGUCCUUAACCCACUGAUCCACAGUGGGAACUCCUGUUUGCCUUCUCCUAAUUCCCAAGUCUGAAUUACAUGCCCCUCUUUUGUGCUGUUCUCAGACUGCCACAUAGAGGUGCACAGGUCAUGCACAGCACAACUCUAUAGGGUGCUAUUCACAUCAUGAUCUAUAUGGCUCCUGGAGUUGCGCAAUGUGGUCAUGUCUAUAGUAUCUCUAUCACAGUGCUAAAUGUACUCUAAUGUAAUUGCCUGCUGACUUGUCUUUCUUACUAUUUCACUAAGUAGACAAGGGACAUCACACCAGAGACUGGAAGUCAACAAAUUAAAAACAAAACAAAACAAAACAAUUGAUUCUUCAUCUUGGUCAUGAGGUUAUAUAAGCACAUACCCUCUGCUUAUACACUAGGAUAUCCUUUUAGGGAAAGAAACAGAGAAAGGGCAGGCCACCUAAGAAAUGGAACAUUUUUAUCCAAGACAGAGGGAGCCUUUCCCAAAAGAUAUAAAAGUAAAAUACCUAAGCAAUGAAACAUAAGUUCCAUGGGAGCAGGGGAUUUUUGUUUGUUUCUGUUUGGUCCAUUGCUGAUUCCUCUGACCCAACAUAGUGUCUUAUACCUGGUAGUCCUAAAGAAAGGUUUUCCGGAAGGAGUCAUUUGCUUCAUGAUUAUUAUUGUAGUCUAUACUUCAACUGGAUUGAG